GACGAACGCUGGCGGCAUGCCUAAUACAUGCAAGUCGAACGAGAGCGACCGGUGCUUGCACUGGUCAAUCUAGUGGCGAACGGGUGAGUAACACGUGGGUAACCCGCCCAUCAGAGGGGGAUAACAUCCGGAAACGGAUGCUAAAACCGCAUAGGUCUUCGAGCCGCAUGGCUUGAAGAGGAAAAGAGGCGCAAGCUUCUGCUGAUGGAUGGACCCGCGGUGCAUUAGCUAGUUGGUGAGGUAACGGCUCACCAAGGCCGUGAUGCAUAGCCGACCUGAGAGGGUGAUCGGCCACAUUGGGACUGAGACACGGCCCAAACUCCUACGGGAGGCAGCAGUAGGGAAUCUUCCGCAAUGGACGCAAGUCUGACGGAGCAACGCCGCGUGAGUGAAGAAGGUUUUCGGAUCGUAAAACUCUGUUGUUAGAGAAGAACAAGUGCUAGAGUAACUGUUAGCGCCUUGACGGUAUCUAACCAGAAAGCCACGGCUAACUACGUG
RNAcentral lists this ribosomal RNA (498 nucleotides) under uncultured bacterium. Its description in RNAcentral is "partial 16S ribosomal RNA". It matches the Rfam family "Bacterial small subunit ribosomal RNA", at positions 28 to 507 of the family's 1533-position model. The record is from RNAcentral.